CUGUGAGACCUGUCGCCCUGAUCCCCUCUGUGAUUAGAUGUGUCAACCACAUAUACGGUUAACCAGAAUUGGGUCUAGGUCAGAUGGAUAGUAGGCAGUACUACCCCUGAUUACUUAGCACAAAGACACUUAAUGACAUCUCAUUGGAGACCACAGGAGCUUUGUGAAGCCAGCGGGACACAAUACAUGGAGAGGUGACCAACAAAUCACUGUUGAUGAGGGGAAUGGAACCUCAACCCAGCAUGUUAUUGUGAUAGAGGCUGGAGGUCCU
This is a long non-coding RNA of Oncorhynchus keta (chum salmon), 271 nucleotides long. RefSeq lists it as uncharacterized. Lineage: Eukaryota; Metazoa; Chordata; Actinopteri; Salmoniformes; Salmonidae. The transcript has 3 exons. The record is from RefSeq and is a predicted model, not a curated record.